RNAcentral lists this ribosomal RNA (302 nucleotides) under uncultured bacterium. RNAcentral's name for it is "partial 16S ribosomal RNA". It matches the Rfam family "Bacterial small subunit ribosomal RNA", at positions 508 to 807 of the family's 1533-position model. The record is from RNAcentral.
GCAGCAGCCGCGGGAAUACGGAGGGUGCAAGCGUUAAUCGGAAUUACUGGGCGUAAAGCGCACGCAGGCGGUCUGACAAGUCAGAUGUGAAAUCCCCGGGCUUAACCUGGGAACUGCAUUUGAAACUGUCAGGCUGGAGUCUUGUAGAGGGGGGUAGAAUUCCAGGUGUAGCGGUGAAAUGCGUAGAGAUCUGGAGGAAUACCGGUGGCGAAGGCGGCCCCCUGGACAAAGACUGACGCUCAGGUGCGAAAGCGUGGGGAGCAAACAGGAUUAGAUACCCCUGUAGUCCCUGUCUCUUAUAC